AUCCCACAUUAAAUCAAGGGGUGUGAAUACUUUCUGAAGGUACAUUAGGCCUUACAUUUACUUACAGGUCAACUGAUAUGAACCAGAAGCCAGACAUGGAGUCUUCCUCAAUGAAGAAGUCAUCCUGCAAUUCUGAGGAUCUUAAUAAGGAGAUAUAUUCCCUCAAAAUAAGUCUGUCUGAAGAUGAUGCAGAUUUUCCAGAGAGGGAAACUGAAAGUGGCAACCUUGAGAGACCUGUGUCUCCAGUAUUCAGUGUGCUGUCAAUGGAGAGUGAUGUCUUCUCCAAUGACGUCACUGAUAAGGACAUUCUUGACUCAAGUACACAGCAGGAGAGACCAACAUCACCAGACCGUCUGUCAUUGAAAAGUGAUUGUUCAAUGUUCCGACCAGAAAACUUCACAGGGCUGUUGCCUCAUGAUUCAAGUGGCAACCUUGAGAGACCUGUGUCUCCAGUAUUCAGUGUGCUGUCAAUGGAGAGUGAUGUCUUCUCCAAUGACGUCACUGAUAAGGACAUUCUUGACUCAAGGUGAUACGUAUAUCCUGGUAGUUUCACUACAUUUCAAUCAUAUUACAAAGGGUUGAAUCAGAGG
Molecule: long non-coding RNA, 590 nt
Filed under: Salmo trutta (river trout)
Lineage: Eukaryota; Metazoa; Chordata; Actinopteri; Salmoniformes; Salmonidae
Description: lncRNA (ENSSTUG00000007188.1)
Source: RNAcentral